This is a non-coding RNA of Theobroma umbraticum, 1299 nucleotides long. The record is from RefSeq and is a predicted model, not a curated record. NCBI's taxonomy places the organism in Eukaryota, Viridiplantae, Streptophyta, Magnoliopsida, Malvales, Malvaceae.
CAACAAUUACCCCUAUAAAGUCAUCGAAAUUACACCCCCACCCAAGUCCCUUGGUGUUCGUUGCUUCCCUCCUCAAGGUCUGAUACAAAGCCUUUGCCCCGUAAGGCAUGGCACUUUGGAGUCUUCAUUUUGUUCUUGAAGAUUUAAUGGAGUAAAUUGAAGGAUAGAGUACCAUUAUUUUGUAAGCAUUUUAGAGAUUCUGGUUUACAUUAGUGAAAUUUUAAUUAAUGGUUUGUUGAGUUUACGUGGAAGCAAGCGUUUGAAACCUGUUUUCCAGAUGUAAAUGUUGGGUAGUUUGCAAAAUCGGAUCGAAGGAGAGGUUAUCCGGUUUUCAGCUGUUGGUGGUCUCUCAUUUCUUCUUUUUCCUCCCUUCCACUAAUUUGGCAUGAUGAUGACAUUAUUCGCAUGAUGACAAGAAGACAUUAGAAACUUGUAAUCAGGUCUAGACAAAUGGAGUAAAUAUAACGAGGAGUUUUCAACGGAAGAAGAGUAGUCAAACAACAGAAUGAGUUCCAAAAUGGCUAAUGUCCGAUGUAGGAAAACUCUCCAAAGUGGGAUGCUACCAGCUCAGCUGGUCGCAUUCGAUGGGGACAAUUCUCUCCUGCUUCAGCAUAAAUGAGCUGCCAAAACAAUGCAGAAAAUAAUUGAACACAGCAAAACAUAGUGGUUUAGGCUAUUAGCAUGGAGAGGACUUUAGGAAAUCGUGCUUGUGCAGAUUAUGUAAUGAUUUGAAGGGGUUUAGGCUAACAUAUGUUGAUUUAUUCCUUUAUAUUAUUCUUAAUUUUAAAGUCAAUUGUAUAGUUUAUGCAUGACUUAUUAGCAGAUGAAGAUGGGUGGUCCAUAUAUUGGUUGUAAAUUUCCAAACUAUUGAGCUAUCUUGUUCUGAUGUACUACUUGUUUAAUGAGUUGUAGGUGUCAAGGGCCCUUCAUCAUGUGUUUUAGAAGCAGAAAGCUAAGAAUAAGCCCUUCUCUCAAAUUCUAAGCACAAGGCAUACAGAACUUUAAUGAUCUGUCAUCUUUGUCAAUAUUGCUACACUUUUUCAUGGGGAUCAGUAGGUCCGAUACAGUUGUGAAACUAGAGACUAUUAUGACAUGAUAUCACUGCUGGGGCAUUUAUGUUCCAUUCUGUCAGUUCUGAUUGUUCCUUCUGUAUCAGAAUUUGCAGUGUGGGGAGAGUGUGACAAUUGAAGGCCAAACAUAUACAAUCUCAGCUGUAACUCACCGCUACCAGCUUCGCAAAGGAAAGUAUGAACCUAGUGAAAAGAGGCUUGAUGUUCUGUCCACAGGGAGAUACAUCCU